This is a long non-coding RNA of Taeniopygia guttata (zebra finch), 3398 nucleotides long. The record is from Ensembl. NCBI's taxonomy places the organism in Eukaryota, Metazoa, Chordata, Aves, Passeriformes, Estrildidae.
UGAAAAAUCAAUGUCAUUAGCUAAUGAGAUAUGAUUAAAGCAAAUAUAAUUGCUAUUAUCACUACCAAGGGAGUAUCUCAGAAAAAAAAGCUCAUUAUUUUGCUCGCUUUCCUAUGGGGUGAGUGUAGAAAUAUAGCAAGAAACCUAAGUGCUGUGUGAAGCUGAAGCAGCAGCGUGUGAGGGAUAACAUUUGUAUGUCAAGUAGCCAACAACAAAACACGUGAUGACAAUACAUUUUGAGCUGGGAAUUGAGGGUAUGGAAGGAGCAGAAUCCAAAAAGUGAAGGUAUCCUUUACAAGUAAUGAUGUGCAGGUAACUGAGAAAAGAACUUAAGAAAAUAAUUAGAAAACACUCAGAAGACUGGGUAAAUUGUCCUGACACAACCCACUAACAAAAGUAGUGAAGACAAUAAGGUCAAACAUUUUCUUGGAGAAAUUUUCAUUUGAAUUCUUUUGCUAAAUGAUACCAUUAAGUAGGAAUGCUGUUAAGCAGCAGGAUGCCUACUCUCCAUCUGGGCAAAUUCCUGGACCCUUGCAACCUCAUGUUCAUGGGUCCAAAUGCAAAAUUCAUCUUUGCUCACCAGAACAUUGAUACUAUGUUACAUUCUUCCCAUUCUUCUUCCCUCAACAGUACUGGCAUAAUAUGCUGUUUCAUUUCCUUCAUCUUGAGAAGUUUCUAGGUUGAUUCCCUGUGUGGAAUCUGCUUAUAAACCAAAACCAGACCUUUCUCAAACAUUCCUACUAAGCUGUCUUCAUCUGUUACUUGCCUGUGUGUCACGUAUCCUUUUUCCUACAGUCCACUCAUGUAAAUGCCCAUGACAGUGAGGAUGAGUCUAAUUGGAGAUAUUGCCAGUCCCACAAGACUUUGAACAUUUAUAGACAGCUAGAAUUGAGGAAGACAGAAAGUACCCCUGUGGUUUAUCAAUUUCUUGAAAACAUUCAACCCCAUUGCUGAAGCAAGACAAGAUGGAACAGGUUGCCUAGGACCACUUACAGUUAGGUUUGGAGUAUCUUCAAUAAUGGAUACUCCACAAUUUCUCUGGGAAAACAGUGUUUGAGAACUUCUACAGGAAAAAAGAAAAGGUAAUUUGUUGUGUUCAGAUGGAAUUUCAUGUGUUUCAAUUUGUCCCUGUAGCCUCUUCUACAGUCACUGGGUACUCCAGAAAAGAGUCUGGCUCCCUUCUCUUCAUUCCGGAAGUUCCGUAAGUAUUUACAUUUACUGAUAAGAUCCCUCCUGAGCUUUCUCUUCUUUAAACCCCCUGGGCCCAGUCAUUCAGCUGGUUUUCAGAGCAGUUUCCCGUCCAACUGUCUAACACUUUCUCAUCUUGUCAGUGAGGAUGUUAUGGGAGAGUGUCAAAAGCCUUACUAAAGCUGAAUUAAACAACAUCCAUUAAGCUCUUCUCAUCCAUCAAGCUAGACAUCUCAUUGUGGAAACUAUCAGCUUCGUUAUGCACAAUUUCCCCAUUGUCAUUCCAUGCUGAUUAUUCCUGAUCACCACCUUGUCCUUCAUGUAUCUCAGAAUGGUUUCCAGGACUAGUUGUCCAUCACCUUCCCAUGGACUGUAAGGCUCACUGCUGUCUGGACCCUUCUUUUUGCCCUUCUGGAAGACAGGACGGACAUUUGCUUUCUUAGAGAUGUCUUGCACCACAGAGUGCUUUCAUAACACCCUUAAAUGCUCCGUUGCAGGUGUUGUGGUGAUCUUAAAUUAACUGCUAGGCUUUAAUGUUGGUAUACAAAGCAGACAUUCAAAACAGUCUGCUUAACUAAAAUGAUAUUUGUUUAGGGAUUUUUCCAUCUGUACCCCCAAAAUAUAGGUUGUAAGGAAACCUUGGAGGUUUCUAUUCCAAGCAGAAAUUUCCUCAAAGCUGUGUCAAAUCACUGUGGCUUUGUGUAAAAACUGUCCUGAAAACUCCCAAGGAUAGGGAUUUUAUAAGUUAUCAGCAAAUUGGAUACAAAUCCCCUUCACAAUAAACCAUGCCUAGCUUAUUUAGCAUUACAUUUUGAAAUCUGGCAGAAGUUAAUUUUUAAUCAUUUGAUAGAUGUCUGCAAUUGUGUAUGACUUAACUUUCUUGACCAAUGGCACCCUACAGUAAUCUAAGCAUACCAUGUUUGCACAGCUGCAUUGUCUGCAUAGCAAUGACAGAAAGAUACAUUUAGCUACUGUUCUACACAAGAAUCAUGUCAGCAAGGAACAAAUAUUAAACAAAAAAAUUCACUAUUUAAUCAUCUAAGCGCACUCGAUUUCUCAGCAGCAUACCCUGCACGGGACAAGCCAAGAGCAAGGGCUUCACAGAUUUUACCUAAGUUUAGUAAUUCCCUGCACAACCUCCCCUGGGGCUUCUAAUGACACAAAUUAUUUCAGUGUAAAAGGUGACUCUACAGAGGGUUACAAAUAAAAAUGCUUAUAAUCAUACCUGUAGAAAGUUUCACUCCUAUCAUUCAUUUGUCUUUCUGACAGAAAUGUCAUUUAAUGCAAAUCAGUUUCUCUGUCAGAAUAAUACUUAAAGAAGUCCUGUCACUGAAAAACUGCAUUAGUGAUUUAUGCCUCAUUUCAGAGGGAUGAGCAACAGCCUUAUUACAGCCUCAUAAUAUAAAUCCAUACAAUACAGGGUUGCUAUGACAACUGAUGAGCCUUAAUAGCCUAGAUUCAAAGGACCUUGUUCAAAGCUGUCAAGUAGUGCGGUUCAAUGCAGUUCAGUCAUUUGCACCUGUAAGAACUGGGAGAAGGCCAUGCAGAAACUGAGCGGUUCACUCAGGCUCUCAGGGGAGGCAUCUGAGUUUUGCAGCUGAGAGCCUUCCUUACCUCUGAGCUAUGCACUGCUAGUCCGGAGGCUUUCCAGCCCCCAUCAGAGGCACCCAAACUGGCGUUUGGCUUCAGCAAUACUGAGCUCCCCAGACUGCCUGAGAAAUAGGGUUCACAUCCAGUUCCAUUUAUUAACAGUUAAAGAUGAGGUUAAAAAGAGGUAAGACAAUUAAACACCUUCUUGGUACUGAAAAUGGGCUGCCCACCCCUCUAGACUUCUUUUCUCAAAACUGUGAUCUUAGCCGUGUUUUCCGCCCAUAUCCUCCCACUAACUGUGGUAUUUGUCAGAUUUUGCUGGGCUAGUUCAGCUCACUAACACAGGAGAGAAUUCUGUCUUUUUCUUCUUUUCUGUACUAUUUUUCUCCUUGAGAUUCUGCCAAGGCCCAAAAUGGCUUGUUGCAGGGUUCUAACAACUUGCCAAAGGUAAAAUGGAGGAGCAACAACUGGCAGGAAUGGAGAGUUGCAAACCUACCCAGUGGUCUACCCUCUGAAAAGAGAAGCACCUGAGCUUUAACCGCAGCUAUAGAGUCACAGCAAUAUUCACAUCCUUGAUUCAUAGACUUGACUUGCUGUGAAAAGGUAAUAUUUUAGUGUCA